RNAcentral lists this ribosomal RNA (497 nucleotides) under uncultured bacterium. RNAcentral's name for it is "partial 16S ribosomal RNA". It matches the Rfam family "Bacterial small subunit ribosomal RNA", at positions 28 to 507 of the family's 1533-position model. The record is from RNAcentral.
GAUGAACGCUGGCGGCGUGCCUAAUACAUGCAAGUCGAGCGAACAGACGAGGAGCUUGCUCCUCUGACGUUAGCGGCGGACGGGUGAGUAACACGUGGAUAACCUACCUAUAAGACUGGGAUAACUUCGGGAAACCGGAGCUAAUACCGGAUAAUAUAUUGAACCGCAUGGUUCAAUAGUGAAAGACGGUUUUGCUGUCACUUAUAGAUGGAUCCGCGCCGCAUUAGCUAGUUGGUAAGGUAACGGCUUACCAAGGCAACGAUGCGUAGCCGACCUGAGAGGGUGAUCGGCCACACGGGAACUGAGACACGGUCCAGACUCCUACGGGAGGCAGCAGUAGAGAAUCUUCCGCAAGGGGCGAAAGCCUGACGGAGCAACGCCGCGUGAGUGAUGAAGGUCUUCGGAUCGUAAAACUCUGUUAUUAGGGAAGAACAAAUGUGUAAGUAACUAUGCACGUCUUGACGGUACCUAAUCAGAAAGCCACGGCUAACUACGUG